AGGCUUAAAGAACGAGGGGAAGACAUACUCAACAUGUUGGAGUUCAGAAAAAAAAAAGAUUGGAUCACUUUGCAUGAAAAAUUGCAUGCUAUGAGAAUUAAAUGACAAAUUAUUGAGCAUAAGUUAUGUAGAUUAUGUUUGUAGUAUAUUAUUGACGACAUUGAUGAUGUAUUUUGCAUUUUGUAUGCCAGCAAGCAUGAUUCUAAUCUUAUUAUAAAUUAUCAUGAGAUUUGCAGUGGGGGAAAUUAGAGAAAGGAUCACCAAGGAGAUUUUCCCAUAUCUUCCUGGAACAUUGAUUACAUGAAUUUAACGACAAAAGUUUAGCAUUUUCACACAAAAAAGUAUCAGUUAAAGAUAUCACUGGUUUCGGUUUCCGUAUGAUCUAUCUCGGUUUCUUACAAUUUGUUUGGUGAAUUGUACCACUUGUUGAGCAACCUUAAACCUUGGUAAAUUAACCUAAUUAUACUAACUCAACAUUGUCGUGUUGCUUACACUAAGUGGUAGGAGUGGACAAAAAAACUGAAUCAAACCAAACAAAACCAAAGUAUAUGUCUAAACUAUGUGGUUCAAAAUUUUAUCAACGCACAUGAUUCGGUUUGGUUUUAAAAUGAACUAAACCAAAAAAUCAAAGUGUUUUUUAAUUCGAUUAAUAAAAAUAUAAUACUAAUAUUAAGAUUGAAUACAUUUAACCAUUUAAUCUAAAUAAAUAAACAUAAUUUUAUACAUUUUAUUUCUAAAUGAAUAGAAUAAAGACAAUUAAAAAUAAAAUAAAAGAAUAUGAAUAUGAAUAUAAAUCACAUACAUUAACAACAAAAUCAAAAAUUAAUUAUGAUAAUUAUUUUACGUUUGAAGAUAAUUACAUAAACUUAUUAGAUUUCAUCUUCUAUAUUUUUACUGUGAUGUUUGGCUUCACGCUCAAAUAUGAAAAAAACAAAUUUAGUGUCAAAUGAUAUUUGUUUAUGUUUUUAUAAAUUAUAUUUAUGUAACUAAAUUAAAACAAUAUUAAAAAUCAAUUCGACUGAAUAGAACAAACACAAACAAACCAAAUUAAACUGAUACAAACUAAACCGAAUGAAAACCAAAUCAAAUAUGUCUUAUUUUUACAAAUUUUCUAUUGAGUUUCAAUGUGUUUUGAAUUGAACAGACUUUUUAAGUUGGAUGUAAUCAUUUGCAGUAUGCUGAUAAAAAUAGUAUAAUCUCAUCAAUACAAUUAAUAAACUAAUUGAUAUAUCAGUUAAUGAUUCAUAAAUCAUAUAAAAUUAGUAUAUGAUAUUCAUAUAUAAAAUUAUCAUUUUAAUAAACUAAAUGUCAUUCUAAAUGUUUUCCUAAAAAAUGUUAAUUGUAUAAUCAAUUCAUAUAUAAAAUUAUCAUUUACAUAAUCUAAAUGCUAUUUUUAAUGUUUUCUAAAAUUUUUGACUAAAUAAUAAAAAGUAUACAAAAGUAUGCCAAUCAAAUCAUUGCCUUCAUUUUCAUUUUCAUUUCCAUUUCAGUUUUAUAGUGACAGCUGUUGUUUUGCCUUGGUUGGUUCACGUGACCCAAAAAAAAUUAUCGUGAAAAAUUAGCCCCACGGUCUAAGCGUAUAAUAAAUUCAAUUCAUGAUUUUGGUUCUUAAGUAUCAGUCAGUGAAGAACAACGUAUAUAUGAUCAAACUAAUGAACGUAUGAUCAAACUAAAAUAAAAUCUUACAGUUAGGUUGUUGAUAAAUUUUGUAUGAUUGUGGAAUGGAUCAAUAAGAAAUUUAACUCGGCAUUAAAAACAUGUUUUGUGAGAUCAUGCGAAAUCAGCCAGUUAUUCGAGUGAAUAGCUAACCAUAUUCAUCAUGAUCACUUACUUUCAGUUAAACCAACUCAAAUAUUUUUAUUGAAAAUAUAAAAUUGUAAAAUAAGAAAGUAACAAUAACCAAGAAUUCAUUUCAGGGAAUUAUAGAAAAUUUGAUUAUUGUAUUUACCUAUUUAUAUUUGUAUAUUUUUGAGUUAUUCCGGGUCUAAUCUCCAAAAAAAUUUGUGUUUUAUUACUUACGAAUUUUAAAUAUUUAUUUAUUUAUAAUUUUAAAUAUUUAAUUAUUGUGUACAAUAAUAAUAAACAUACUUAUAUCUAGAUUAAAAAUAUAUUCAAAAGAUAUGUAAAAUAUAUUAUGUUUUACUUAAAUUUUGAAUUAGUUAAUUGACCAUUGAUUUUCUAAAGAUAUUUGUGAUAGAUUUAAUGCUUGUAAAAUAUAUGUUUUGAUAUAUUUUUCUAUUAAAAUAAAAUUUCAAGGUUAGUCCAUUAAAAAUAUUACACAAUACACAUGAAAAAAUUGUGUUAUUUUGUCUUUUUUUGAAACACGUGUUAUUAUGUCUUAAUAAGAAAAAUUAUGAUGGAAAUUUAUAAAUUAUAUUGUUAUAAAUGUAAUCCCUAACAAAUAAUUCAAAACAAAUCUUAAAAAUAUAAUUUAGCUAUAAGCUAUGUUACCUAUAUCAUAAUUCGAAAUAUAUAGAAAUGAUAUAUAGAAUUGACAUAAAUGGGAAUUUAUAACAUGAUAACAAAGAACAUUUAGAAACAAUCAAAAAAAUAAAUAAAAUGUUUGACAAUAUGAAUAUAUAGUUUGACCAUAUUUAUUUGACAUGCUUACAAAAUGUUUACACUGAAACUUUCCACAGUCAAUGUUGAUUUAUGGUGUGUUGGAUAGAUAUAAUAGGUUUUUUUUUGGGCAAGGAUAGAUAUAAUAGGUUGGAAUCGGAUAUAUAUAGGUUUACAUUGCAAAUCAUUUAUAUAUAGGUUUUAUAUAAAUAAUAACGGGUAUAUUUAUAAAUAAAAUAUGUUAUAUUAGUAGAUUAUUUACGGUUUUCUUACAAUGUAUGCAGUUGUUUUAAUAAAAUAGAUUUAAAGAACAAAAACUAAAAAAAUAUGGUGUUUUCAAGAUUUAAAGAUUAAAACAAAAUAGUAACAUGAUCACCGUAUACGAAGUAUUUCAGAUUUAGGCUUUGAGAGAUCACAAAAGUAGAAUAAUCCCAUAGAUUUGAGUAUAAAUUUGUUUAGAUGCGUAUACAAAAUACAAUUAAUAUACGUCUAGAAGACUGAAGUAAGAUUUAUUGUAAAAGUUUUUUUUCUGCCAAAUGGUAUAAACGAAGUAUGCAUCAUAUAUAUUUUUUUAUCUAGAUUCUAAUGCGCCUGUUUUGCUAAUUUUAGAGUCAACUCAAUCAUCUAUAUAUGUUUGUAGACACUAUGUUCUGCCAAGCGAAAUAAGUAAAGUAUAAUUCAUAUUAUUGGUCUGAAAUCUAAAACAUGUUUGGACUCAAUUGUAUUGAUGUACCUUGCGGUCCAGUCUUCCGUUUAUAUAUGUUUGUAGACACUAUGUUCUGGGCGACUCGGAGUGGACUCGUAUCGACCUACCUUGUGGUCAAGUCUUCCUUUUAUCUCCAGUCAUGUACUCAGACAUAGACGGGAAGUUCUACUGACUACACCGGUUCAACUAACUUCACUGCUAAGUACGGUCCGGUGAAUGCCUACGUGAGAUUCCCUCUGUCUAACUCUCACAAGUUGGAUCUCCAACGUCUCAAUAUCCACCAGCUAUUUGUCCAGUCUCCUUCUGGCGAGUCCUUCAUUGUUCUAUGGUGUCUGGACUGCAUGACGAACAAAGGAGAAGCUGUGGAGUGGAAAGACAAAAUGUCCAACCAGAGCGACCUUCUUAUAAAGACUCGCUACAUUAUGGUUUAUAGGCAAGACACCGAGAAAGGUCGUAAAAUUAGUCGUAAAAUUUCUAUUAAUUUGAUGUAAAAAUUAGUCAACCAGACACCUUAAAAUCAGUCGUAAAAUUUCCAUAAAUUAGAUGUAAAAAUAACUGAUGAAUAUUUCGUAAUAGCGAAUGCUUGUGUAAUUAUAUAUAUAUAAUUAUCACAUUAGUUUUUCCAAUACAUAUUAUGCCUCUUCUUCGGCCUCUUCUUAUUUUUCUCAUUGUCAUUUGUUUUUUUUUUAAUUAUAUUUUUGCUAAUGUUUUCCUAUUUUUUUACAUAAUUUGUGCUCGAUCGACCACGCCUUAUUAGGCAACAGUAAAUGAGCCACUUGCCACAAACAACAAAGAUCAAUAUUCAAUAAGUCUUAUUAUUUGCUAGUCGUCUGACACUUGGUUUGUUGUUGUAAUAGUUGUCUGAUAAUUUUUAUCUGCCUGAUACAUUAAGAACCAUCUUACAAGAACUGAUGUUAUUGAUAGAGGUGCAAAUGACAUGGUUCAAAGUUACACUGGACAUUUGAAUUUACUGUUCGGCAAAGUCGGAUUAUGUAGAUUUUGCGUAAUUCAAAUUGAGGUAUAUGAUUUAUUUAGGAACCGAACAUUUUGAAUUAGAUCGGUUUGGAUUUAUUUUUUAUUUUAAAUAAAAAUUCUGAAACAGAAUAAAAUUAGAAGAAAAAAAAUGGAAUUGGUUUGGGUUUGAACCUGAAAACCGACAAAACCUGAUAAUCUCAUAAUUAAAUAAAUAUCCAAAAAAUAUCUUGAUGAUUCAGUUUCUAGUAAUUUUUAGUUAUAAAUUAUGUUUUAUACAAAAAGCUAUUUUUAAAUAAAAAACAUAUUUUAGGUAAAUGAACUAUGUUUCAAAUUGUUUGAUUUAGAAAACUAAAAAACCAUUCAAAAUUAUGUAAUUUGUGUUUGGUUUCCUUUUUCAGUUCGAUACCGAUACAAUUUUUAGAAAAUAUAUCUAGACCUAGUUCAAAUGCUUACUUGGCAAGAGACUUUAAACAUGAUAAUGUUUAGUCUAUGUCUUGGGCGGCUGUAGACCCACCGUCUAUUAAAACACAAUUAAUUAUCUUUUUUUUUAUCAAAAAAUAAUUAUCUUCUUUUAGGUCUCUCAUUAAAAUGAGAAUCAAGUCCUCACUAAGAAACCAACAUUUAAAUUGUUUUAUAUUAAAAACAAAUAUAUUAAAAUACUUACGCAUCACAUCCGAGCUCGAGCCAGAAGACCAAGUUGCAACGCCAACGAGCCACUUGCCACAAACAACAAAGAACAAUAUUUAAUAUAUCUUAGAUAAAUUUAUAUGCACAAAAUAUGUAUCGACAAAUAUAUAAUGAUUAGAUUAUUUUCUUGGUCAAACCAAAUGGAAUAUCUUUCUAUUGAUCUGUCGGGUUUGUAUUAUGUGUAUGUUACAAUUCAUUGCCUCACUGAAACCAAUCAGCUUUUGAGAAUUUUUACUAAACUUUUUAAAUGUGUGAGAUUUAUAUACACAAUUUGUUUGAUAAACAUGCUUUAUUUUCUCUUUUUUUUUUAAUCUAGGAAGGUCGUAUAUUUCUGAAAUAUCAUAAUAUUUAUUGCAGUGAAUUAACUAGUAAAUAGACGUAAAGACCCCACAACUCUCAAUUGGUUCAGAGUAAAUGUGAAAAAUGUACAAAUUUAUCUUAUUCAAAUGGAAGUACAAAUAAGAACUACCCAUUCGAUUAUAACUAAUUUACAACCUUAUGCCACUGAAGUAAUUAAAUAAACAUUUCUUUAAAUAAUCUUUGUCUUUUUCGAGUAUUAAAUUAUUUUCUAAAGUAAUUAUAACUAAUAAAGAUUUCCUUAACAAUAAUGUACAUAAUAUAACUUUUCUCACUUUACAUGCCAAUUCAUCUAUCAUCAUUAUAUAUUAAACAUAAUUUUAACUGCAAAGAGAGUAAUGUCUUUAAUCGACACCACUGUAAAUUAUAUUACAUUCAACUUCACCUUUUCAACAAAACGGUUUUCCACUAUAUAUUAAUCAUCACCCUUAUCUGAUUUAACCUGCACCAAACGCAAGAUUGUAGUAACUUUAUGAGUAAUGAAACUCAUAGAGUAAUAUAAUCUAACAAUCAUUUUUCAUGACAUUUUAACUCAUUUUAAUCACACAAAAAAUCAACUGUUAUUAACCAACUUAAAGUAAUUUACGAGAUGUUACACUUCGGAAAUCAAUUAUAGAUAUAACCAAUAACUCUAAAAUCAGCUAAUUUGUUUAUGAAGUUUAUAUUUUCCCUUGAACGGGGGUAACAACAAAUGUAAAUAUGAUAAUUAUAACCAAUAAAAAAUAAACACAAUAUUCUAACAAACAACUGAAAAAUCUUAACAUUUCUUAUUUCUUAGGUUUCAACACAUCACAAUCCCCUAUACAUUAUUUGAGGAUCAUUUGAAAAAUUGUAACUUCAAUUUUGUAUUAAUUACCAAAUGAACCGGCUGAUGUGUCAUCCCGAAAUUUUCUUUUAAUGCUUAUGUGUCAUUUUUAUAAUGACUUUGGAUAAACCUUAGUCUAACAAUUUAUUUUCUAGAGAAAUUAGUUAACUUAACAUAAAACAGUCGGACGCUUUCCACUUCAUACGACAUUAAUAGCAUUUAAUGAUAAGAUGUACUGUGUAAUCACCUUCAUCGCAUAUACUCAGUAAAAGGAAGUAAAGGUCAUCUCACAAACACAUGACUAAUCUGAGUUUUGCAGAGUGAUUGAGGUUAUAGAACCGUGUAACCUUCAUCUUUACGACAGUGUAAUCACUUCAAUUGUUGGUCUUUGUCAUCUUUAUAUUUGCUAUACAUAAAUUAUUAUCCUUUCCUCGCAUAAACCAUCAUUUUUUUGUUAAAGGUCGCAUAAACCAUCAUACUUCACUUUUAAGACAUGUAACUCUUCGUAUUUUGAUUAUUAAUUCAAAACCAAGAUAUGCGAGUUAUGGUGUUCAAAAAAAAGUGAGGGUUUAUGUACAUAAACAUGACUGAUCUAUAUUAUGCAAAAUCACACGUAGAUCUAUAUUAUGACUUCCUUAGAAUUAUUUAAAAUCAAGCAAAUCAAUCACACGUAGAUCUUUAAGCAAAAAAAAAGAAAGAAAAUCACACGUAGAUCUAUAUUAUGACUUCCUUAGAAUUAUUUACCACGAAAAACCUCUGUUAUAUAUUAUUUUAUUUGUUCUGUCCAAAUACAUGCUUUAAUGGUGUCAAGCAUCUCAGAGCUUAUAUAGUUCUACUUCCAAGUACAUGAUCUAUUAGAUCUUAUAUAUCAUGAUAAGACCUUCAUGAUCAUUCAGCAUUUUACUGUUCAUGCUGAAUUAUAGUAAACUUUAGCUCAUGAUUAACUGUUAAGAUAGUGAAUUUCGUGUAGCUACACGAUAAACAGAAGCCUGUUUUUUUUCAUAAUUCAUUCCACUGGUAUUUUUCAGUAUUACAAAGAAAAUUUCCACCUAAUCGUUUAUGGAAGUAACAUUAGGACAUUUGCUAUAUGCAAGUUUAGUAUUUCACGCUGAAGUCAAUAUUGUAUUUAAUCAUAGCGAUAAAAAGUCUAUAAUUUGGUUUACGUCUUGGGCAGAAAGUAUAUAUGAUUCCAGUCAUAACCACAUCCUCUAAAUUAGGUAAGUAGAUAGUUCACAAAGCUUAGUACAUUAAUUAAGAAACUAUAUUUUUGAAUUAUAUAAGUCGUGUUUAAUGUUUUUUAUUUUUGUCGGGGAUUUAUUUAGAUAUUACAAUUAUGAGAAAGAUUACAAAGACGAUUCGAUUACCGACAAUACUACAUGUCUUAUGAGGAUCUACGCCUAACUGCUUCAUUUGAGCCGUCCUAUGAAGAUCACGUCUGACCGGAUUUACUUGCACCAUGUUGAAAAACUCUUGUAAGCCUUUCUUCCGUAAUCGCAUAAUUGUUGAAUAAGUCGUGUUUAAUGUUAUAUGGUUAUAAUUCCUAAUUACCAUAUGACUUCAAAAGUUCAACGAAGACAUGUAGACAAAUCAUUUAACCAAAGGUGUAACAAAUAAUGUUAUAGUGAUUAUUUUUAAUGACGUUAUGUUUCACUGAUUAUUUUUAAACAAACUGAUGUAAUGUAAAUUAUGUUUUUCUACAAUUAGUGGUACAUAAUUUUAUAAUAUUUCAUCAUGCGCAAAUCGUAGGUCUCAUCCUAGUGUUCUAUAUAUUAAAGCAAGCAAACGUGAUAUGCCUGGUUAACAUGUGUGGGUUUAGUCAUAAAUGAAAACAAAAGCCCACAAAUAAUUAAAGAUUAAUUCAAUUAUAUUGUAAUGUUCAUUUUUAUUUCAAAUUUUAAUCCUAUAUUAUAUAUGUUAAAUUUUGGACAUAAUGAAAAAUAAAUAUAUUAUUUUACAUAAAUCAAACGUAAUGUAUAAUAUUUAAAAAAAACUACAAACUCAUAGUUGUUUCUAUGACAUUAUUUCAAUUGUGUUAAUUUUUUUAUAAAGACGAUUAAGUAUAAAAAUUAUAUUUAGUCAAUAUACAGAAUAUAAAAUGACAAUAUUCAAAUGUCAUAAUAACAUAGAACUUUGUGCUCAAAUUAAUAAAUAUAUAGUAUAUCAUGUUGUAAGAACAUAAAAUUACAACACAAAAAAUUAAAACAAACGCAGGCACGUGCGGAUCAAACUCUAGUAAGUAAUUAAGAUACUAGUGACUGGUAUACAAUUUCUUGAAACACAACUGUCUAUAUCCUU
This is a long non-coding RNA of Brassica rapa (field mustard), 8384 nucleotides long. RefSeq lists it as uncharacterized. NCBI's taxonomy places the organism in Eukaryota, Viridiplantae, Streptophyta, Magnoliopsida, Brassicales, Brassicaceae. The record is from RefSeq and is a predicted model, not a curated record.